UUUUAAAUUUGGAAUUUCAAAUUGAAGUUUGAAAUUAAAUUAGAAUUUAGAAUUUGAAAUAUGAAUUUGAAUUUAAAAUUUAAAAUUUAAAAUUAAAUACAAAAUUGAAAUUUAAAUUGGAAUUUAAAUUUGAAUUCAAAAUCAAAAUUUAAAUUUAAAAUUUAAAUCUUUAAACUAAAAAUCCUGCUUUGAAUUUAUAAAUUUAAUGGGUUAAUUACACCGUUGGUCCUCAACUUUGCACCGUUUUUUAAUUUGGUCCCCAGCUUUUUUUUUUUUUUUUCUAUCCACUGACAUAGCGUCUCCGUGGCGCUGACACGGCGCCUCCGUCGGCAUUUUUCGUCAAUUUUAACACCUUUCUAACUAACGGAACUUAAUUGUAAUGAAAUUAAAAAAUUAUAGAGUUGAUUAUUGUUGAUGCCAAAAUUGAAAUUAACAUGCCGACCAAAUCCACGUAUGAGUUAAUAAGAACACGUGGUACAUCAGGAGUCGGCAAUAAGGCACCUGAAGAUUUUAGGCGGGAACGAUUGAGGAGUGGGCGUAACUUCCACGAUCAUGGUUACAACCACUUCCCCGACUACUUUCAACCAACCAAUAAUGUGGGUUGAUAUUACUAUAAAUAGUAAUUUCGAAGCCUGCAAUAGGGGUCUUUCUCUCCCCUGAACGAGAAGACCACCGCAUUUUCAUAUCUUUCCUUUUCUGCAUUUAUUGCUUUCUAGGAGUAGUCUAAAUGUAAUUUUUUCUUUUUCGCAUUUACUGCUUUUCUAGGAGUAGUUUUUAAGUAAAACCCCGGAGUCUCCCUGCCCCACGGGCAUCACUCCGUUGUAAACUGAAUAUCCAUCCCUGUAGCCGACCAAAUCUCGUAUUGCUUUAGCCAUUCGGUUCUUCUUUCGGCUUAGUUUCCGGCCUGCUCUAUACAUUUGGCUCAUUCCAGCCGAACCGAAACAGAUAGUAGUGAUUUUCGAACUCGGCUGGCUCAAUCCCUCGUCAGCCGAAUCGCUUAAUCUGUCGAAGGGCGCAAACUUCGAGGGUCACUAUCCGCAGCCGUUCCUCACCCCGACGCGCUUCCCGA
This 1069-nucleotide long non-coding RNA is filed under the name Ananas comosus (pineapple). Its description in RNAcentral is "long non-coding RNA (ACOM_LNC019323)". The record is from RNAcentral. Lineage: Eukaryota; Viridiplantae; Streptophyta; Magnoliopsida; Poales; Bromeliaceae.